Molecule: ribosomal RNA, 483 nt
Filed under: Salmonella enterica
Lineage: Bacteria; Pseudomonadati; Pseudomonadota; Gammaproteobacteria; Enterobacterales; Enterobacteriaceae
Description: partial 23S ribosomal RNA
Rfam family: Bacterial large subunit ribosomal RNA
Source: RNAcentral
AACGGAUAAAAGGUACUCCGGGGAUAACAGGCUGAUACCGCCCAAGAGUUCAUAUCGACGGCGGUGUUUGGCACCUCGAUGUCGGCUCAUCACAUCCUGGGGCUGAAGUAGGUCCCAAGGGUAUGGCUGUUCGCCAUUUAAAGUGGUACGCGAGCUGGGUUUAGAACGUCGUGAGACAGUUCGGUCCCUAUCUGCCGUGGGCGCUGGAGAACUGAGGGGGGCUGCUCCUAGUACGAGAGGACCGGAGUGGACGCAUCACUGGUGUUCGGGUUGUCAUGCCAAUGGCACUGCCCGGUAGCUAAAUGCGGAAGAGAUAAGUGCUGAAAGCAUCUAAGCACGAAACUUGCCCCGAGAUGAGUUCUCCCUGAGACUUUAGGUCUCCUGAAGGAACGUUGAAGACGACGACGUUGAUAGGCCGGGUGUGUAAGCGCAGCGAUGCGUUGAGCUAACCGGUACUAAUGAACCGUGAGGCUUAACCUUACA